AUAUUGUGGUAACUGGUAAUGAUAAGGAAGAAAUAGCUCAUCUAAAGGAGCGCCUAGCACAGGGGUUUGAAAUUAAAGAUUUGAGAAGGCUAAAGUACUUUCUUGGAUUAGAGGUUGCCAUAUCAGAUUAAAGAAUUUUUAUUUCUUAAACUGGAUAUGUUGGAAGAAACAGGAAUAUUGAGCUGUAAACCAGUGGAGUCUCCCAUUAAGGCAAAUCAUAAAUUGUAAGCUGGAAUUGGGAAAUCAGUGGAUAUAGGGAGAUAUUAGAGGUUGGUUGGCAGACUGAUUAUCUUUCGUACACUAGACCAGGCACAACAUAUGCAGUGGGUUUAGUGAGUCAAUAUAUGCAUAAUCCUCGUAAAUCUCAUUUGGAGGCUGUUUUCCAUAUCUUGCGGUACUUAAAAUCUGCACUUGGGAAAUGACUUCUUUUCUCAAAGUAUAGUCACCUUCAGAUUAAGGCCUUUACAAGAGCUGGAUCUCUUGAUGAUAGGAGAUCGACACCUUAUUACUGUACUUUUAUUGGUGGUAAUCUAGUCACUUGGAAAAGCAAGAAGCAUAAUGUGACAGCUAGAUCUAGUGCAAAGGCUGAGUUUAGAGCAAUGAAUCAAGGUAUUUGUGAAUUAUUGUGGUUACGAAAGUUAAUGGAGGAAUUAAAAUUGCUGGAAGCUAGUGGUGUGUCGUUGUUCUGUAAAAACAAAGCUGCCAUCAAUAUAGUUCACAAUCCAGUUCAUCAUGAUCGGACUAAGCAUGUAGAGAUUGACAGACACUUCAUAA
This 774-nucleotide unclassified non-coding RNA is filed under the name Hevea brasiliensis (rubber tree). Lineage: Eukaryota; Viridiplantae; Streptophyta; Magnoliopsida; Malpighiales; Euphorbiaceae. The record is from RNAcentral.